This 80-nucleotide transfer RNA is filed under the name Achromobacter ruhlandii. Its description in RNAcentral is "tRNA-Arg". The record is from RNAcentral. Lineage: Bacteria; Pseudomonadati; Pseudomonadota; Betaproteobacteria; Burkholderiales; Alcaligenaceae. RNAcentral also lists the same sequence under 1 other name.
UGGCGGCGGUGCCGCUGGCCAUGGCGCUGGCGUUCCUGGCGCUGGCGGCCUACCCGGUGUUCGCGGUGCUGGCCGUCGCC